CCGCUCUCUGUGGGGGCCCCCCUUGAAGUGGUGCCCCACUGCGUGGGCUACAUCCGGAAACAGGGUCUGCCUUUGCGGAUGGAGCCUGGGGGCCUCAGGCUGCAAAUCACAGACUUCCAGCGUGGUGAUUUCUCACAGCCACCCUGAGACACAAACCCACACACUCAGCACUUUCUGCAGAUGACCUGUUAGACUGCAGACCUGUGGGGUCACAUUGGAUGAAGACUUCCUUCCUGCGACAUCUGCCUUUGGGCCUGGUCACCGCCCCGGGCUGCCUUUCCUGUGGUACUGGGAGGUUACAGGUCAAUCACUUCAUCCAAACACCAUAUACGUGAUUUUAUGGGAUAAGACCUCCGAAGAGCAACGUUCCUUGGGACUUUCAGAAUAGACUGUAUUUAGCAAAUUGUUGGUGACUCAGCAGUAAAGAAUCCACCUACAAUACAGGAGCCACAGGAGACGUGGGUUUGAUCCCUGGGUCAGGAAGAUCCCCUGGAGGAGGGCAUGACAACCCACUCCAGUACUAUAGCCUGGAGAAUCUCAUGGACAGAGGAGCCUGGUGGGCUACAGUCCAUAGCACCACAAAGAGUCAGAAAUGACUGAAUCAACUUAGCCUGCCUGCACGCAGAGCAAAAUGGUAGAUAACCUGUUUACGGUGAAAAACAAGACAAGACUCCUUUGCCAAUGUAGUGUCUGCUGUUGCAGAGAAUGAAAUUUAGCAAGAAACAAAUAGACCAGCUAUAAGAACCUUGCCCCUGACUACCCAUUCAGGAUGGAGUCAUAAACAGCA
This 787-nucleotide long non-coding RNA is filed under the name Bos indicus x Bos taurus (hybrid cattle). RNAcentral describes it as "lncRNA (ENSBIXG00005010685.1)". The record is from RNAcentral. Lineage: Eukaryota; Metazoa; Chordata; Mammalia; Artiodactyla; Bovidae.